UGAACGCUGGCGGCGUGCCUAAUACAUGCAAGUCGAGCGAACAGACGAGGAGCUUGCUCCUCUGACGUUAGCGGCGGACGGGUGAGUAACACGUGGAUAACCUACCUAUAAGACUGGGAUAACUUCGGGAAGCCGGAGCUAAUACCGGAUAAUAUAUUGAACCGCAUGGUUCAAUAGUGAAAGACGGUUUUGCUGUCACUUAUAGAUGGAUCCGCGCCGCAUUAGCUAGUUGGUAAGGUAACGGCUUACCAAGGCAACGAUGCGUAGCCGACCUGAGAGGGUGAUCGGCCACACUGGAACUGAGACACGGUCCAGACUCCUACGGGAGGCAGCAGUAGGGAAUCUUCCGCAAUGGGCGAAAGCUUGACGGAGCAACGCCGCGUGAGUGAUGAAGGUCUUCGGAUCGUAAAACUCUGUUAUUAGGGAAGAACAAAUGUGUAAGUAACUAUGCACGUCUUGACGGUACCUAAUCAGAAAGCCACGGCUAACUACGUG
RNAcentral lists this ribosomal RNA (495 nucleotides) under uncultured bacterium. RNAcentral describes it as "partial 16S ribosomal RNA". It matches the Rfam family "Bacterial small subunit ribosomal RNA", at positions 30 to 507 of the family's 1533-position model. The record is from RNAcentral.